CGUAGCAGAGCUUGUGCAAAGCAAUUCAUUUACAUUGAGUAGAACUUUAAUUUUGUGCUAUGA
Molecule: transfer RNA, 63 nt
Filed under: Cryptopygus antarcticus travei
Lineage: Eukaryota; Metazoa; Arthropoda; Collembola; Entomobryomorpha; Isotomidae
Description: tRNA-Val
Source: RNAcentral